AGGAAGGAAACAGUCGAUUCUAUCAACCCUAAUACUUUUUAUUUUAUCGAGAAAGCUGAAACGUGAAAUCGACCUAGGUGGGAAUUGAACUCAAAACAUCAGAGGCUGUAACUACCGCAAAGCAUUUUUUGCGACGCUCUUGAGUGUGCUAAGCAACAAACAAAAAGGCGACGUUACACUUAAACAUACAGGGAAAUACAUACACAUUAAAACAAUAACAAAACAAUGGUUCUUGUUUGUAUAAACUCAAACACAAUAUUUAGAUUAAAUACAACCGAACCAAGCAAGGCCAUGGUGUGACAGCGUAUGUACACACACACACACACAUACGAGAGAGAGAGAGAGAGAGAGAAAGAGAGAGAAACGCAUAUACAUAUAAUGCACACAGUAAAAAGUAAAUGGAUCUCUGUCGGUUUCGACGAUGAGUAUUCCAGAUGUCCUAUUAACAAUGCAGUGUAAGUAGCGAGCAUUUUUACAAACACUUGUACUUCAAACCGAAUCCGCGUAACACAGUAAUAUUGUUGAUACUUUGAAUUAUGAGAUACAAUCCUUUCAAUGAAUGGUCUAACAGAGUUUCCAUCCAUAAAGAUUUCACUUAAAGAUUAUUUGCUAAAAUACCCCCACUGCAUGGCACCUCAUGAUUCAGAAGCGAACUGCUUUAACCAGUCGGCCGUAUAUACACACAUACAUACGUAGGAGUAACAACGGUGAAAAUUUUCAGUUGUAAUUACAGGUACACACACACACACACACUCAUAUUGCAGUUUGUGCAAUUAGCAUGUAUUUCAAUUUACAUUAUAUGCUAACUCAUGUAUGUUGCUUGUAACUGUCAUGUGGUCGGUCGCUGAUCUAAAUUUUGUUACACGUAUAUAUAUAUAUACACGCUGAUAAACAGCUAUAAAACACAGACACACAUAUUCAUAUUGACACACAUAUACUAGUCAGCGUCUUGAUAUGUAGCAAGUUGGGAGAAAAGAGGAGAGAGUAAGGAGACUGUAACUCACACAUUCAUAAUAUCAGUCAUGUAUAAAAGUCUGUAUGGAAUAUGUGCAGAGGAAUAUUCAUUAAGCAUUAAAAAAGGAAGGAAGGAGAGGACAUUAAUGCCAACAAAGAAGGUGUAGGGUGGGCUUCACUCGGAUGGCUUAUUUACAUUGGAGGAGCAACUCAAACAUUCAUUUCAGCUAUCUUACGUGACAAACCGUUUCGUGUUUGAUAAAAUUGCGGCUAUUAGCCGAAAAUUACACUGUCUUUGGAAGGAACUUGUAUUUCGACUGCUACUUACGAGUGAAGAAGACUAAGUUAUCAAUCAUCUGCUAGCGAAGAAACCAUCAGCUACCGAAGAAAUAUAUAAACAAACAAGCCUCCGUAUUUCGGUUUAUUAUAACUAAAUAGUAGUUGGGAAAACAAAUCCAGCAAAGAUGAGUAAAGAAGAAAAUCAAAAGGUUUUGAGAAUGGAUACUAUAAAUCCUUACUUAAGAGCAAUGGAAUAUGCUGUGAGGGGACCAAUUGUGAUGCGAGCUAACGAAAUAGAAUUAGAUUUGCGAAAAGGAAACAACAGCUACCCAUUUGAGAAAAUCGUCAAAUCCAACAUAGGGGACUGUCAUGCCACGGGACAAAAACCAAUAACAUUCAUACGGCAAUUAAUGGCAUUGUGUUUAUAUCCUGAAUAUCUUAUGGACGAUCCUAACAUCCCGAGUGAUUGUAAAGAACGGGCAAACCGAAUUCUGAAUGAUUGUCGUGGAAAAAGUGUCGGAUCUUACUCGAACAGCGAAGGGCUUCGAGUUAUUCGAGAAGAUGUAGCGAGUUAUAUCGAAGCUAGGGAUGGUUGCUCGGCCUCUCUUGACGACAUCAUUAUGACAACUGGUGCUAGUGAUGGUAUAAAAAUUAUUUUGAAUAUGUUAAUGACUGGAGAACCCGGGAAAAAGAGAGCAGGUGUCAUGAUACCAGUUCCUCAGUAUCCUCUUUAUUCAGCAACAAUAACAGAAUAUAACGCGUAUCCUAUUUACUACUACCUCGAUGAAGACAAUAACUGGGCUUUGAACCUAAAAGAAGUUGGAGCUGCUUACAACAAUGCAAAAUCACACUGCCAGCCACGGGCCAUUUGUGUAAUUAACCCGGGAAAUCCAACUGGUCAAGUAUUAACUAAAGAAAACAUUUGCGAUAUCAUUAAAUUUGCUAACCAGGAGAAAUUGUUUAUUUUAGCAGACGAAGUCUAUCAACAUAAUAUAUACACAGAUGGAGUAGAGUUUCAUUCAUUCAAAAAAGUCCUCACAGAAAUGGGUCCCGAAUACAGCAAUGUAGAGUUAGCUUCUUUCAUGUCAGCAUCAAAAGGAUACAUGGGAGAAUGUGGCUUCCGAGGUGGCUACUGUGAAUUAACUAACAUUGACCCUGAUGCGAAGAAAGUGAUUUUGAAAAGCAUCACAGCCCGUCUUUGUCCGCCUCUUAUGGGUCAAAUUGCCAUCGCAGCGGUGGUUAACCCGCCUGUCAAAGGUGAACCUUCUUAUGAUCUUUUUAUGGAAGAGAAAACUUUUGUACUCCGCCAGCUUCAGAAGAAAGCUCGCCUAGUCACCGACAUGUUCAAAUCCAUCCAAGGUUUUACGUGCAACGAAGUACAAGGGGCAAUGUAUUGUUUUCCACGCAUCGACAUACCAGAGAAGGCCAUAACUCAAGCAAAGCAGAGAAACAUGACUCCAGACAGUUUCUAUUGUUAUGAACUGCUAGAAAACACUGGCAUUUGUGUAAUCCCUGGAAGUGGGUUUGGUCAACGCGCGGGUACACAUCAUUUUCGCAUCACUAUAUUGCCACCCGAAGAAGAAUUUAAUAAAACUGUCAUCCGUUUUAAAGAAUUCCAUAUGAAUUUCUUAGCUAAAUAUCAUUAACGCUAUCUAUGGUGGGAUUUUGACAUGAGCAUGUCACCAAUAUUAUUUCAUACUAUGGAUAUUUUAUACCAGUAAAAUGAUAACUGAUACCAAAUAUCCACAGCAAACCAUUCCACUGAAUUACAAGGCUUCAGUACUAUUUCUAAGUUUGACUUGGUCAAAGAUUUUUAUUUUAUAUUUAGUAUAAAAUUAAUUUUUUUAAAAAAGAGUCACAGUAACUACAACAAAUUGAUAAGAAACUUUGACUACCAUAUAAAAUCAACAGGAGAGAAGGGAACUUGAGAAAAAAGGCAUUGUUACUGUUUCUGUUGUUUCUAGGAACAUUUUAAUGAAGGAUAAUUUUUUGAUAUAUUUAAUUGUUGAUUUAAUAUUAAAAAAAUUAUUUACCUAUUUUUAAAAAUAUUUUUGUUUGUUUAAAAAUCUCUGAUACAAAAUAGAUGAUUAUAUAAACAUUUGACAAUAGAAAGAAUGAAAUGAUUCUAAGUUUUAAAUUUCUCAUACAUUCCCUCAUCAUUCCCUAAUUUGUAAAAACAUUUUGACCAAUUUUUUUAUUGCAAGUUUUCAACUUAAGACACCUCACUCAUAUAUAAGAGUCUUUCAGUUGUUUCUGCAGCAGAUUCUUCUUUUUUUUUUUAAAUUUUUUUUUACUCUCAAAAUAACUAUCUUCCAACUCAUUCUUCUUGAAAUUGUAAUAUUCUCACUCAUUUAACCAGCCAUUAUUCCUAUCUUCCUCUUAAAAAGAAGAAGACUUACCAUUUUCCCUGUCUUCCUACAAACUGUGUGAUACCCUUUCUUGGUUAUUCAUUUUUUUGUGGAGCCAUACUAGUUCUUUUCAUCUGUUUUACAAAUCGCUAUAUUAAUUCUUAGACAACUUUCAAAAGUAAAACGUUUUAUUUAUAUUUUUUCUACCAUUUCUACUGACUUCUUGUAAAUAAAGUAAAUUCUACUGAUAUCAGAAAGAAAUGUAUAUCAUUGGGACCUUAAUCCACUGGUUUCAAAUGAACCUCAAGAGUGUCUUACAUUUUAACCUUGGAAUUACUAACUCAAGCUGACAACAAUGUAACAUUCCAGUCAACUAUAGAACCUGUUAUUAUUUGUUUUUAUGUUGGUAUUGUCAUUGUCAUAAGUGUGGUCGUUAUCAUUGUUGUUAAGUAACUCUGGUCAAUUCUGUAUGAGCCGAUAUAGAACUAGAUUGUUGAUCAAAUAAAGCAUUUGAUCUGCAUUUUUAGCUGUGGGCAAUCUUUCCAUCUCUAUUGUAAAUAUAUUGUUCUAAAAGUUACUACUUCAAGCAACUAGUGGUUUGUAUUUUAAAAACAAUAUGGAGUUCAUGUUGAAAAAAUGUUACUGCUACAUUGAGCAAUCAACCAACUACAUAGGAGUUACCUUACUGGCUCUUUUGGUUCAUAUCCUAUGGAUAUAAAGUGGGGAACAAAUUUAGUAAGAGAGAUUUGGUUGCUAUAUUCAGAAUGUCAAGUAACUAUACAGACGCUCCCUCUGUGGUAUGUGUUGUGAUUUUUGUAAAGAAUUUUUGAAGAACUCACUCUAUUUUGUUAAAUGAAUCUAUGGUGGUAAAUGAAUAUGAUAGCCAAUCAAGCAUUCAGCAGAAAAAACCCCACAAAUCUCUAAAUAAGUCAACAUAUAUGCUGUUCAUAUAAGCACUGCCAGUUCCUAUAUUAUCAUUCCAAACCCUCAUCUUCUGAAGAAAUGAACCAUUAAAUCAACCUUGUUAAGAUUUGAACUCUUGCUUGUCCUUAAACUAUGUCUGACUUUAUUCAUCUUGAAUUAUUAUAUAAUUUUUAUAUUGUACCAUUUUUGAAGAAAAAUGAAUAACUGAAUCAACCUGGGUCAGAUUUGAACUUGGAAAUAUUUUUACACUCAUUCCAACACUUGAGCAACAGUUGAUCAUUCACAAAUGCUUACUCCAAACCAAGUAGAGGGACACUGGUUGUAUAUCAAGACAGUUCGGCAGUUUCUACCAUCAAGUAGACCCUGAAAACUUUCUUCAGUGAAUCAAUGAUAUUCCAAUAAAUAUGAUUUAUGCAGUAAA
Molecule: RNA transcript, 4926 nt
Organism: Octopus bimaculoides (California two-spot octopus)
Lineage: Eukaryota; Metazoa; Mollusca; Cephalopoda; Octopoda; Octopodidae
Gene name: alanine aminotransferase 2-like
Source: RefSeq, a predicted model, not a curated record